UUGACCAAAUGAUGUUUUGUAUUUUGGUGUUUUACAGUCUCUGUUGGCUACUCCUCUGGUUGUAGCUCCUGUGUUGCUGGCUUUUAUAAUCAAUCUGCUCACCAGCUCUAGGACAUAUAUUGUAUAUGAAGCCGGCAGGCUGGAGCACUCAUGUAAAUAACACACACACGCACACGCACACGCACACAUUAAACAUAUAUAUAAAUACACACACACCAUAGACACACACAUAUAUACAAUUACAACAACCCAGGAUUCUGUAGUUAUAAAAUAUAGACCUAAAUUUACUUUUUAAUAAUGUAAAAUUGUUUAUUUAGACAUAUAUGUGUUUAUGAUCCAUGAAAACUUAAUGUGUUAAAAGAAAUGACCACUAGAUGGCAGAGUGGUUGUCUGACUGGAAAAAGGAUUCAAACCCGGGAGACGGCAGGAAAAGAUGGCGCAGCGUCCUGGCGAUCUUUCCUCUGAACUCAUCCACACAUGGUCCGCCGUCUCCACCUCCUACACCGUGACACUCCAUCGAUCGUAAUGGGCAAUGUGAGAUCACUGGCCAACAAGAUGGAGGAACUCCAAGCCCUUUCAAGGACUCAGCCAGAGUUUCGGCAGUUUCAGAACCGCUGGAGGAGAUAAUGCAAAGAAGGAUUCUCCAGAGAAUCAAGAAAAUUAUGGACAACCCUGAGCAUUCUCUUCACAAGACUGUCCGACAACGGAAGAGUGUCUUCAGUCAGAGGCUUCUUCAGUUUCGCUGCAACACUGACCGCUACUGGAGAUCCUUCCUGCCAACAGCCAUUGUAAUAUACAAUAACUCUUUGAUGACUUGAUUAUUAUUAUUAUUCUGAGCUACUACAGCAAUCAAUUUCCCUCUGGGAUUAAUAAAGCAUUUUUGUAUUUGAAUUGAAUUGAAUAUAUUAGUGCUGUGAUAAAUAACAUGUUAUUUUAGUUAAUUAAUGUGAAACGUUAUAUUAUGGGGAGAAAAUUUUUUCAAAAGAUUUGUGCAUGUGUGUCUAAAUUUGUGUGUGUGUGUGUCUAGAUUUAUGUGUAUCUAAAUGUGUGCGUCUAGAUUUGUGUAUGUGUAACUCUUGAUUUGUAACUUGUGUUUAAAUUUUCGUGUGUAACUUCAGCUCCUAAACAUACAAAUCAUUGAAUACACACACACACAAAUCAAGACAAAACUACAUCACACACAGAUCAGUUUACACUUACAACAAUCCUUUUGAGACUUUUCUGAAUUUUCUUAGGAUUCUGUAGUUAUAAAAGAUAGACCUAAAUUUUCUUUUUAAUAAUCUAAAAUUGUUCAUUUAGACAUAUAUGUGUUUCUGAUCCACGAAAACUUAGUCAAAGUGUUAUAAGAAAUGACCACUAGAUGGCAGAGUGGUUGUCUGACUGGAAAAAGCAGGAUUCAAACCCGGGAGACGGCAGGCGAAGAUGGCGGGGCGUCCUGGCGAUCUUUCCUCUAAACCUGCACGCUUUGCACUCCGGUUAUAAUGAGACAGAUAUUAUUCUUGACCAUUUCAAACGUUUUAUAGGUCUGACAGCCAGAUUCAUACACUGUCCUUAUUUCUGUGUUAGCAGGCGCUAACGUCUGUGUGAGCUAAGCUAGGUUAGCUAUUUCAAGCUGCUGUGAACAUAGAUAUGAAACUAGAAUAGUAUUUGUGCGCUGUAAGAUGAACAGAAUUAUUCAGUUGUACUGCCAGACUUGCAUUUGAAUUUGUUCAGGUGACAUCAAGGGCAUAAAAGCUGCUUAGCAUAGCGUUGUUUUGCAAGGUUAGCUUACAGCCUGUUUAAAAUCCAUCUAUUAAAAAUGGGUUUCAAUCAUUUAGCAGCUUAGUUACACAACUGUAUUAACAUGCUUUCCAAAGUGAGGUUGCUGUGGUUUUGAAUGUGUCAUAAACCAUGCUGAAAGACAGAAAAUUCACUUUACAAGUCCGACCACAACUCCCAGAAUGCACCGGACAGGGAAGCGCCACUUUAUGUGUGUGCGCAAUAACAGUGGGACAGUUUACAUGCGAGGAGAUGUAUUUAACUCACAAAAUAAAAUCACAAGAUUGAUAAACAAG
Non-coding RNA from Nothobranchius furzeri (turquoise killifish), 2054 nucleotides. Lineage: Eukaryota; Metazoa; Chordata; Actinopteri; Cyprinodontiformes; Nothobranchiidae. The record is from RefSeq and is a predicted model, not a curated record.